AGACGAACCGUACGAACGUUAUUCGGAAUUACUGGGCUUAAAGGGUGCGUAGGCUGCACGGAAAGUUGGGUGUGAAAGCCCUCAGCUCAACUGAGGAAUUGCAUCCAAAACUGCCGUGCUUGAGGGAGACAGAGGUGAGCGGAACUCAAGGUGGAGCGGUGAAAUGCGUUGAUAUCUUGAGAAACACCGGUGGCGAAAGCGGCUCACUGGGUCUCUUCUGACGCUGAGGCACGAAAGCUAAGGUAGCAAACGGGAUUAGAAACCCCAGUAGUCC
Molecule: ribosomal RNA, 274 nt
Filed under: uncultured bacterium
Lineage: Bacteria
Description: partial 16S ribosomal RNA
Rfam family: Bacterial small subunit ribosomal RNA
Source: RNAcentral